Brassica rapa (field mustard) is the source of this 502-nucleotide long non-coding RNA. RefSeq lists it as uncharacterized. NCBI's taxonomy places the organism in Eukaryota, Viridiplantae, Streptophyta, Magnoliopsida, Brassicales, Brassicaceae. The record is from RefSeq and is a predicted model, not a curated record.
GAGAGAGAGAGAGAGCAUGGCACUCCAUGGGGAUUCUUCCGGGGAGUUUGACAUCAAGUCUCCGGCCGACAAAUUCUUUACAUCUUUCGCCGACGACAUAAGUAGCACUUUUCACAUAAUAUCGAAGGAGAAAAGAACAGUAACGCUGAGUUUGAGUGGGAAUCUAGUCUCGGAUUGCUACAAGACGUUCAAAGCAACCAUCACGGUCACUCCUGCGGAAGACGAGGGCAAUGGUAGCCGCGUAGUGUGGACCGUCGAGUUCGAGAAGAUCCGCCAUGACAUCGAGGAUCCAAUGUGGAUCAUCGACAUUCUUAUCAAUUAUUUGAAGACUUAUUCUUAGGUCCACUCCCCUAGGGUGAACCUCUAGGUUCACCAACCAAUAGAAUUGUUUUAUUUUAUAUUCGAUAUCUUUAAAAAAAAAAACAAAAUAUUGUCAAAUUAUAUUAUGUUUUUAAAAUUAAAAAGUAAAAAUAAAAUAGUAAUAAUUACAAACAAAAAAAAU